AUACUUACCUGUCAGGGGAGAUACCAUGAUCAUGAAAGUGGUUUUCUCAGAGUAAGGCUUAUCUUUUGCACUCCUGAUGUGCUGACCCCUGUGAUUUCUCCAAGUGUAGGAAACAAGAUUGCAUAAUUUAUGGUAGUAGGGGACUGUGUUUGUGCUCACCGCUG
Small nuclear RNA from Mastomys coucha (southern multimammate mouse), 164 nucleotides. RefSeq annotates it as U1 spliceosomal RNA. The record is from RefSeq and is a predicted model, not a curated record. The transcript has a single exon. NCBI's taxonomy places the organism in Eukaryota, Metazoa, Chordata, Mammalia, Rodentia, Muridae.